RNAcentral lists this ribosomal RNA (254 nucleotides) under uncultured bacterium. RNAcentral describes it as "partial 16S ribosomal RNA". It matches the Rfam family "Bacterial small subunit ribosomal RNA", at positions 524 to 776 of the family's 1533-position model. The record is from RNAcentral.
UACGGGGGGAGCAAGCGCUGUUCGGAUUUACUGGGCGUAAAGGGCGCGUAGGCGGUCAGCACAAGUCAGUUGUGAAAUCUCCGGGCUUAACCCGGAAAGGUCAACUGAUACUGUGCGACUAGAGUGCGGAAGGGGCAACUGGAAUUCUCGGUGUAGCGGUGAAAUGCGUAGAUAUCGAGAGGAACACCUGCGGCGAAGGCGGGUUGCUGGGCCGACACUGACGCUGAUGCGCGAAAGCCAGGGGAGCGAACGGG